GGCCGCGUGGCCCAAUGGCAAGGCGUCUGACUACGAUAUCGUAGACAUCAGGAGAUUCUGGGUUCGACCCCCAGCGUGGUCA
Thozetella sp. PMI_491 is the source of this 82-nucleotide non-coding RNA. NCBI's taxonomy places the organism in Eukaryota, Fungi, Ascomycota, Sordariomycetes, Chaetosphaeriales, Chaetosphaeriaceae. The record is from the annotation of a GenBank genome assembly.